Molecule: ribosomal RNA, 392 nt
Filed under: uncultured bacterium
Lineage: Bacteria
Description: bacterial SSU rRNA
Rfam family: Bacterial small subunit ribosomal RNA
Source: RNAcentral
GACGAACGCUGGCGGCGUGCUUAACACAUGCAAGUCGAGCGGUAAGGCCCUUUCGGGGGUACACGAGCGGCGAACGGGUGAGUAACACGUGGGUGACCUGCCCUUAGCUCUGGGAUAAGCCUGGGAAACUGGGUCUAAUACCGGAUAUGACUCCAUGACGCAUGUUGUGGGGUGGAAAGCCUUGUGCGGCUAGGGAUGGGCCCGCGGCCUAUCAGCUUGUUGGUGGGGUGAUGGCCUACCAAGGCGACGACGGGUAGCCGGCCUGAGAGGGCGACCGGCCACACUGGGACUGAGACACGGCCCAGACUCCUACGGGAGGCAGCAGUGGGGAAUCUUGCGCAAUGGGCGAAAGCCUGACGCAGCGACGCCGCGUGAGGGAUGACGGCCUGUGU